UAGCACAUCCAGAAAGUCGGCAGUGGUUACUAUAUCCAACUGGAUCCUGGGUAAGUCGCUGCUUUCUAGGAUAAGAACACAACAGUAACAGCACAACAAUCGACCUCUUGGUGAUCAAUGCUCUUGAAAUGCUAAUAGACCUUCUUUCAAAAUAAUGCAUAAUGCAGCAUUCUUAAUUGUUAAUGCAGCAAAAGGCAAGACUAAAGAGGGCUGGGGAAAAAUUCUUUAACGUGCAACUGAGUUAGCCCCUAAGGCCCAGACAAAAAAAUGUGACCUAAAUGUAUCGUUACCAGGUAUUAUUUAAUAUUUAUAUAGUGCCUCAAAUGGAUCCAGCCCAACAUCACAGUGUGCCAGAGAAAUAAAAGCCUGAGCCCUAAGGAGUUUAUCAUCUGCAAGCAAAGUCGAUCCGAAUCAGAACACCCACGGAGGAAUGAGUUGAGUGAGGGAUGAUUUGACCAAAAAACGCGUUGCCAAGUGUAAAGCGGCACCAAGAACAGGCGCCAGGCUCCAUCUGCUGUGAAAAGGAGCUUAUUCUUCGUGAAGAUGCCCAUUGCAUUACGGGGGCAGCUUGGAUCUUAUUCUAAGUGUCUCAAGCUUCUAUCAGCUCAUGGUAAGACCUGGUCUACAAGAUGGCCAUAUGGUGGGCCCUUGACCUACAUGUGCCCCUCUCCAGGGCAGCUGACCUGGCUCAGCACACUGUACUCCAGCUCUGUGUGCAGCUCCAAGGCCCUGCUCUUGCUCACAGGAGGCAGCCAGUGGUAGAUCAUGGCCUGCCUGGCCUCCCGGCUGGGGAGAUCGACCAGAAUCCUCUUCUCCAGGCGGCGUAACAUGGCACAGUCCAGCUCCCUGAAAUCACACCAGAAAUGGAGCUGGACAGGGCUGCAAACACACUUCCUGAACAACAACUGUACUUUAAGAACAAUUUAGCAUUGCAGGAAGCAAUUCUGCAUUUUAACUGUCACUCUACAUCUAUGCCUUGAGGGGAUGGGACAAUUAAUAUUAUUUGGAGAAAGAAUUGGUGAGAAAGAGAACUGAGGGAGGGAAGGAAGGGAAGAGAGGGAGGAAAGCAGAAAGGAAGGAGAAGAAAGGGAAGGAAGGAUGAAUGGAAGAAAAGAAAACACAUUCUCAGAACUAAUGAAAAGGAAGUAAUUUUAUGCGACUUAAUUUGGGGUACAAAAACCAACUAACAACCGGCAAUCAUGAGUAUUCUCAUUGCAGUUGUAACAUGAAUUAUUCAAUCCGAUCUUGCCAGUGAGUAAAUUAUUGCUGACAAUAACUUGGGCACUCUAAGUACAUUAAUUCUUCCAAAAUUCUCAGUCCUUCUGGAGUGAAUGACCCCCUCACUUCAUUACAUUGGUGAACUUAGCACCAGUGGCCCUUCCCGGGUGCCCAGUGCAAAUAACGGCCCUUUCAGACACUCACUUUUACUCCUCCCAAAACUGUCAGGCCAAGUUUAUGUGAUUUUGCAUCCAUAGGCCAUUUCCUUAAACAACUUGAUAUGGUUUGGCUCUGUGUCCCCACCCAAAUCUCAUCUUGAAUUGUAAUCGCAUAAUUCCCACGUGUUGUGGGAGGGACCCAGUAGGAGAUAAUUUGAAUCAUGUGGGCAGUUUCCACCACGCAUGCUGUUCUCAUGGUAGUGAAUAAGUCUCACGAGGUCUGAUGGUUUUAUCAGGGGUUUCCGCUUCUUGCAUCUUCCUCAUUUUCUCUUGCUGCCACCAUAUAAGAAGUGUCUUUUGCCCCCCGCCAUGAUUCUGAGGCUCCCCAUCCAUGUGAAACUGUAAGUCCAAUUAAUUUUUUUCUCUUCCCAGUCUUGGAUAUGUCUUCACCAGCAGCAUGAAAAUGGACUAGUACACUUUUUUUUUUUUUUUUUUUUUUUGAGAUGGAGUCUUGCUCUGUCACCAGGCUGGAGUGCAAUGGCUUUCAAGCUAAUAUAAAAGUAGAAUAAAACAAUUGAACAUCUAUAUACAUACCAUCUUGAUUCAGCACCAGUAUUCUUCUAUAUCUGCUUCAUAUCUCUCUAUCUACCUAUUCUUGCUAAAUUAUUUCAAAGUAACUUAUAUCAUGACACCUCAUCCCUAAAUAUUUUAGCAUGUAUUUCCAAAGAAGGGCAUUUGCUUACAUAGCCACAAUAUCAUUAUGACACCUGGCAAAACUGAUUCUGUGAUGUGUCUAAUGCUCAGUCCAUAUUCAGAUUUCUCCAGUCAGGGUGGAGGGUGGGAGGAGGAGAGGAUCAGGAAAAACAACUAAUGGGUACUAGGCUUAAUACCUGGGUGAUGAAAUAAUCUGUACAGCAAACCCCCAUGACACAAGUUCACCUAUACAACAAACCUGCACAUGUACCCCUGAGCUUAAAUAAAAGUUAAAAAAUACUCCAACCAUCCCCAAAAUAUCUUCCAUCAUUUUCUGACAAAAUCCAGUGAACAAAUAUGCAUUAUGUAUGGUUAUGUCUCUUAAAUCUCUUUUUAAUCUAGGCCAGCCUGCUUGCCCUAGACCCUUUUUGAAAAAACAGGGCCAGCUGGAGAAUGUCCCACAUUCUGAAUUUGUCUGAUGAUUUCCUUGUGAUACAUGAAACUGGUUCCUCUAUUCCCUGUCUCUAAGAGGGAAGUUCUAAAAGCUUAAUGAGAUUUAGGGUAAAUAUUUUUUGGCAAGCGUAUUGCAUAGAUGAUGAUGUGUUUUCAUAUUCAUCAGGAUCCACACAUCUGUGUAUCUCACUGUCGGUGUGGUGGUUGAUUUUCUGGUGGCCAUGGAACUCUCCGUUGUAAAGAAAAACAUCUUCUCUCAGCAUGUAGACAAAACUACCAGCAAGUGUGAGCUGCUGGUGUACAGCAAGUGUGAAAUGCAGCAAAGACUCACAGACCUCAGAGUUUGGUCCACUGGACCCAGGCCCACUGCUGGAUAAAAGGUGCAGCACCCACUGGCCACUUCGACGGUUUACAUCUUGCUUCAAGGCCUUGCGCCCGAUCAGCUGAGCCCCUGUGCCAACCCUCAGGUACCUUCCUAAGUCCCUCGUCCUGUCUCCACUGUUAAACCAGGGUUCC
This 3038-nucleotide long non-coding RNA is filed under the name Pan troglodytes (chimpanzee). Its description in RNAcentral is "long non-coding RNA NONPTRT007771". Lineage: Eukaryota; Metazoa; Chordata; Mammalia; Primates; Hominidae. The record is from RNAcentral.